UCUCGGCAAAUUAUCCUCAUAAGUUUGACGAUAAGAGGAACCACUUAUGACUAAGAUUUUUUUUAGUUUGAGUAAGUAACCUUUUCUAGCGUAAGCUAGGAAGCAUAAGGAAGCAAGCUUAGAUUAGGAUAUUAAUCUAACAUAUGGUGGUGUCACAAAAUCGGAGGCCACGACUGUUUACUAAAAACACAAUUCAGAGCAAUGAUGAAAAUCAUAGUAUUCUGGAUGAAAUUUGCCCGAUGCCAUUAACAUAAAAGAGGUAAUGGGAAACUGUUACUAAUUGAAAGUCUGGUUAAUAGCGGUCUUAACUAUGAGGAUCCUAAGGUAGCAAAAUCAGUUGGCCAUUAAAUGUGGUCUGGUAUCAAUAGUGUAACGAUGGUCUCACUGUCUCUACAACUUGCUCAGUGAAAUUGAAUUAUCCGUGCAGAUGCGGAUUGCCUCCAGGUGGACGGGAAGACCCUAU
Molecule: ribosomal RNA, 463 nt
Filed under: Thelephoroid sp. E139gn
Lineage: Eukaryota; Fungi; Basidiomycota; Agaricomycetes; Thelephorales; Thelephoraceae
Description: LSU rRNA
Rfam family: Bacterial large subunit ribosomal RNA
Source: RNAcentral